CCGGAUGUAGAAAGGAGACCCAAGCCCC
RNAcentral lists this non-coding RNA (28 nucleotides) under Cricetulus griseus (Chinese hamster). The record is from RNAcentral. Lineage: Eukaryota; Metazoa; Chordata; Mammalia; Rodentia; Cricetidae.